This 492-nucleotide ribosomal RNA is filed under the name uncultured bacterium. RNAcentral's name for it is "partial 16S ribosomal RNA". It matches the Rfam family "Bacterial small subunit ribosomal RNA", at positions 29 to 507 of the family's 1533-position model. The record is from RNAcentral.
AGUGAACGCUGGCGGUAGGCCUAACACAUGCAAGUCGAACGGCAGCACAGUAAGAGCUUGCUCUUACGGGUGGCGAGUGGCGGACGGGUGAGGAAUACAUCGGAAUCUACUUUUUCGUGGGGGAUAACGUAGGGAAACUUACGCUAAUACCGCAUACGGCCUACGGGUGAAAGCAGGGGAUCUUCGGACCUUGCGCGAUUGAAUGAGCCGAUGUCGGAUUAGCUAGUUGGCGGGGUAAAGGCCCACCAAGGCGACGAUCCGUAGCUGGUCUGAGAGGAUGAUCAGCCACACUGGAACUGAGACACGGUCCAGACUCCUACGGGAGGCAGCAGUGGGGAAUAUUGGACAAUGGGCGCAAGCCUGAUCCAGCCAUACCGCGUGGGUGAAGAAGGCCUUCGGGUUGUAAAGCCCUUUUGCUGGGAAAGAAAAGCAGCAGGUUAAUACCCCGCUGUUCUGACGGUACCCAAAGAAUAAGCACCGGCUAACUUCGUG